This is a non-coding RNA of Podarcis lilfordi (Lilford's wall lizard), 79 nucleotides long. NCBI's taxonomy places the organism in Eukaryota, Metazoa, Chordata, Lepidosauria, Squamata, Lacertidae. The record is from the annotation of a GenBank genome assembly.
UGUAUGUGUCUGUGUCUGUUUGUACAUACAUAUAUAUAUAUAUAUAUAUAUAUAUUACACACACACACACACACACACA